AUAGGGACAAGCGAAUAAGUGCACAUGGUGGAUGCCUUGGCGAUUACAGGCGAUGAAGGACGUAGUAGCUUGCGAUAAGCUGCGGGGAGUGAGCAAACACACUUUGAUCCGCAGAUUUCCGAAUGGGGCAACCCACCCUUUUAGGGUAUUGCAUACUGAAUACAUAGGUAUGCAAGGCGAACGCGGCGAACUGAAACAUCUAAGUAGCUGCAGGAAAAGAAAUCAACCGAGAUUCCCAAAGUAGCGGCGAGCGAAAUGGGAAGAGCCUGUACGUGAUAGUCGGACCGAUAACAGAAUCCUCUGGAAAUAGGAGCCAUAGUGGGUGAUAGCCCCGUAUGUGAAAUCGGACCGGUGGUACUAAGCGUACGACAAGUAGGGCGGGACACGUGACAUCCUGUCUGAAUAUGGGGGGACCAUCCUCCAAGGCUAAAUACUCGUAAUCGACCGAUAGUGAACCAGUACCGUGAGGGAAAGGCGAAAAGAACCCCGGAAGGGGAGUGAAAUAGAUCCUGAAACCGUGUGCAUACAAACAGUAGGAGCGGACUUGUUCCGUGACUGCGUACCUUUUGUAUAAUGGGUCAGCGACUUACAUUCAGUGGCAAGGUUAACCAGAUAGGGAAGCCGUAGAGAAAUCGAGUCCGAAUAGGGCGAUCAGUCGCUGGGUGUAGACCCGAAACCAAGUGAUCUACUCAUGGCCAGGAUGAAGGUGCGGUAACACGCCCUGGAGGUCCGAACCCACUAAUGUUGAAAAAUUAGGGGAUGAGCUGUGGGUAGGGGUGAAAGGCUAAACAAACUUGGAAAUAGCUGGUUCUCUCCGAAAACUAUUUAGGUAGUGCCUCAAGUAUCACCAUCGGGGGUAGAGCACUGUUAUGGCUAGGGGGUCAUUGCGACUUACCAAACCAUUGCAAACUCCGAAUACCGAUGAGUGCGAGCUUGGGAGACAGACGUCGGGUGCUAACGUCCGGCGUCAAGAGGGAAACAACCCAGACCGCCAGCUAAGGUCCCAAAGAUUGGCUAAGUGGAAAACGAAGUGGGAAGGCUAAAACAGUCAGGAUGUUGGCUUAGAAGCAGCCAUCAUUUAAAGAAAGCGUAAUAGCUCACUGAUCGAGUCGUCCUGCGCGGAAGAUGUAACGGGGCUAAGCCAGUCACCGAAGCUGCGGAUAUUGUU
RNAcentral lists this ribosomal RNA (1168 nucleotides) under Janthinobacterium sp. TND4EL3. RNAcentral describes it as "bacterial LSU rRNA". It matches the Rfam family "Bacterial large subunit ribosomal RNA", at positions 1 to 1213 of the family's 2925-position model. Lineage: Bacteria; Pseudomonadati; Pseudomonadota; Betaproteobacteria; Burkholderiales; Oxalobacteraceae. The record is from RNAcentral.